GUACACUCCUACGGGAGGCAGCAGUGGGGAAUAUUGCACAAUGGGCGCAAGCCUGAUGCAGCCAUGCCGCGUGUCUGAAGAAGGCCUUCGGGUUGUAAAGUACUUUCAGCGGGGAGGAAGGCGAUAAGGUUAAUAACCUUGUUGAUUGACGUUACCCGCAGAAGAAGCACCGGCUAACUCCGUGCCAGCAGCCGCGGUAAUACGGAGGGUGCAAGCGUUAAUCGGAAUUACUGGGCGUAAAGCGCACGCAGGCGGUCUGUCAAGUCGGAUGUGAAAUCCCCGGGCUCAACCUGGGAACUGCAUUCGAAACUGGCAGGCUAGAGUCUUGUAGAGGGGGGUAGAAUUCCAGGUGUAGCGGUGAAAUGCGUAGAGAUCUGGAGGAAUACCGGUGGCGAAGGCGGCCCCCUGUACAAAGACUGACGCUCAGGUGCGAAAGCGUGGGGAGCAAACAGUAUUAGAUACCCGAGUAGUCCCAUG
Molecule: ribosomal RNA, 477 nt
Filed under: uncultured organism
Description: partial 16S ribosomal RNA
Rfam family: Bacterial small subunit ribosomal RNA
Source: RNAcentral